RNAcentral lists this ribosomal RNA (253 nucleotides) under uncultured bacterium. RNAcentral describes it as "partial 16S ribosomal RNA". It matches the Rfam family "Bacterial small subunit ribosomal RNA", at positions 524 to 776 of the family's 1533-position model. The record is from RNAcentral.
UACGAAGGGGGCUAGCGUUGCUCGGAAUCACUGGGCGUAAAGCGCACGUAGGCGGACUCUUAAGUCGGGGGUGAAAUCCUGGAGCUCAACUCCAGAACUGCCUUCGAUACUGGGAGUCUCGAGUUCGGGAGAGGUGAGUGGAACUGCGAGUGUAGAGGUGAAAUUCGUAGAUAUUCGCAAGAACACCAGUGGCGAAGGCGGCUCACUGGCCCGUAACUGACGCUGAGGUGCGAAAGCGUGGGGAGCAAACAGG